AACGAACGCUAUCGGUAUGCUUAACACAUGCAAGUCGGACGGACUAACCAGGGCUUGCUCCAAUUAGUUAGUGGCAGACGGGUGAGUAACACGUGGGAAUCUGCCCAUCAGUACGGAAUAACUUUUAGAAAUAAAAGCUAAUACCGUAUAUUCUCUACAGAGGAAAGAUUUAUCGCUGAUGGAUGGGCCCGCGUCAGAUUAGGCAGUUGGUGGGGUAACUGCUUACCAAGCCGACGAUCUGUAGCUGGUUUGAGAGGAUGAUCAGCCACACUGGGACUGAGACACAGCCCAGACUCCUACGGGAGGCAGCAGUGGGGAAUAUAGGGCAAUGGGCGAAAACGUGAUCCAGCAAUGCCGGGUGAGUGAUAAAGGCCCUAGGGUUGUAAUGCUCUUUGAGCAAAGAAGAUAAUGACGUUACUUGCAGAAAAAGCCCCGGCUAACUCCGUG
This 447-nucleotide ribosomal RNA is filed under the name uncultured bacterium. RNAcentral describes it as "partial 16S ribosomal RNA". It matches the Rfam family "Bacterial small subunit ribosomal RNA", at positions 29 to 507 of the family's 1533-position model. The record is from RNAcentral.